CUUUUCCUACGGGAGGCAGCAGUGAGGAAUAUUGGUCAAUGGGCGGGAGCCUGAACCAGCCAAGCCGCGUGAGGGAAGAAGGUACAGCGUAUCGUAAACCUCUUUUGUCAGGGAACAAAGGCGGGGACCAGUCCCCGGAUGAGGGUACCUGAAGAAAAAGCAUCGGCUAACUCCGUGCCAGCAGCCGCGGUAAUACGGAGGAUGCGAGCGUUAUCCGGAUUUAUUGGGUUUAAAGGGUGCGCAGGCGGCCUGUUAAGUCAGCGGUAAGAGCCCUGGGCUCGACCCCGGCGAGCCGUUGAAACUGG
This 305-nucleotide ribosomal RNA is filed under the name uncultured bacterium. Its description in RNAcentral is "bacterial SSU rRNA". It matches the Rfam family "Bacterial small subunit ribosomal RNA", at positions 333 to 636 of the family's 1533-position model. The record is from RNAcentral.